GCAUCGGUGGUUCAGUGCGGUAGAAAUGCUCGCUCGCUACGCGGGCGGCCCCGGUUCGAUUCCGGCCGAUGCA
Non-coding RNA from Trichonephila inaurata madagascariensis, 73 nucleotides. NCBI's taxonomy places the organism in Eukaryota, Metazoa, Arthropoda, Arachnida, Araneae, Nephilidae. The record is from the annotation of a GenBank genome assembly.